AGGGAAUCUUCCGCAAUGGACGAAAGUCUGACGGAGCAACGCCGCGUGAGUGAUGAAGGUUUUCGGAUCGUAAAGCUCUGUUGCCAGGGAAGAACGUCUUCUGGAGUAACUGCCAGGAGAGUGACGGUACCUGAGAAGAAAGCCCCGGCUAACUACGUGCCAGCAGCCGCGGUGAUACGUAGGGGGCAAGCGUUGUCCGGAAUUAUUGGGCGUAAAGCGCGCGCAGGCGGCUGUUUAAGUCUGGUGUUUAAUCCUGGGGCUCAACCCCGGGUCGAACUGGAAGCUGGACGGCUUGAGUGCAGAAGAGGAGAGUGGAAUUCCACGUGUAGCGGUGAAAUGCGUAGAGAUGUGGAGGAACACCAGUGGCGAAGGCGACUCUCUGGGCUGUAACUGACGCUGAGGCGCGAAAGCGUGGGGAGCAAAC
This 424-nucleotide ribosomal RNA is filed under the name uncultured bacterium. RNAcentral describes it as "bacterial SSU rRNA". It matches the Rfam family "Bacterial small subunit ribosomal RNA", at positions 356 to 773 of the family's 1533-position model. The record is from RNAcentral.